This is a long non-coding RNA of Cloeon dipterum, 370 nucleotides long. RefSeq lists it as uncharacterized. Lineage: Eukaryota; Metazoa; Arthropoda; Insecta; Ephemeroptera; Baetidae. The transcript has 3 exons. The record is from RefSeq and is a predicted model, not a curated record.
UUCUCAAAAAUUCUGUUGGCAAACCUGGUCAAAGAUUUUGGGCCUGCGCACUACAUUUAAGCAAAAUUCCUCAAUCCUCCACUCCUCGCUCCUCGUUCCUCGUUCAUUUAACUGCAAGUUCGACAACUUUCUAAGGCGCCUGCGAGAACACCACCGGGCCGCCACUGAAUGAAAAUGUUGCUCUCCAGAACUGCUGCCUAUUCCGUCAGACUCUCCACAUCCGUGUCGCAGGGUGUCCUCCAACAUCAGGCUGGCGAAAAGCUUGUGUUUCCCUCGGCUGCUCUGCUGGCCGGCUUGGGUCUCGCAGUGUCCACAUUCAGCCUGAAGCAGAUGCUGUCCUCGCCGAGAACGAAGGUGCCCGGUAGAAACU